GAUGAACGCUGGCGGCGUGCCUAAUACAUGCAAGUCGAGCGAACAGACGAGGAGCUUGCUCCUCUGACGUUAGCGGCGGACGGGUGAGUAACACGUGGAUAACCUACCUAUAAGACUGGGAUAACUUCGGGAAACCGGAGCUAAUACCGGAUAAUAUAUUGAACCGCAUGGUUCAAUAGUGAAAGACGGUUUUGCUGUCACUUAUAGAUGGAUCCGCGCCGCAUUAGCUAGUUGGUAAGGUAACGGCUUACCAAGGCAACGAUGCGUAGCCGACCUGAGAGGUGAUUCGGCCAAACGGGACGUGAGCAACGGUCCAGACUCCAACGGAAGGCAGCAGUAGGAAAUCUUCCGCAAUGGGCGAAAGCCUGACGGAGCAACGCGGCGUGAGUGAUGAAGGUCUUCGGAUCGUAAAACUCUGUUAUUAGGGAAGAACAAAUGUGUAAGUAACUAUGCACGUCUGGACGGUACCUAAUCAGAAAGCCACGGCUAACUACGU
Molecule: ribosomal RNA, 496 nt
Filed under: uncultured bacterium
Lineage: Bacteria
Description: partial 16S ribosomal RNA
Rfam family: Bacterial small subunit ribosomal RNA
Source: RNAcentral